This 1371-nucleotide ribosomal RNA is filed under the name uncultured bacterium. RNAcentral's name for it is "bacterial SSU rRNA". It matches the Rfam family "Bacterial small subunit ribosomal RNA", at positions 28 to 1380 of the family's 1533-position model. The record is from RNAcentral.
GAUGAACGCUGGCGGCGUGCCUAAUACAUGCAAGUCGAGCGAACGGACGAGAAGCUUGCUUCUCUGAUGUUAGCGGCGGACGGGUGAGUAACACGUGGAUAACCUACCUAUAAGACUGGGAUAACUUCGGGAAACCGGAGCUAAUACCGGAUAAUAUUUUGAACCGCAUGGUUCAAAAGUGAAAGACGGUCUUGCUGUCACUUAUAGAUGGAUCCGCGCUGCAUUAGCUAGUUGGUAAGGUAACGGCUUACCAAGGCAACGAUGCAUAGCCGACCUGAGAGGGUGAUCGGCCACACUGGAACUGAGACACGGUCCAGACUCCUACGGGAGGCAGCAGUAGGGAAUCUUCCGCAAUGGGCGAAAGCCUGACGGAGCAACGCCGCGUGAGUGAUGAAGGUCUUCGGAUCGUAAAACUCUGUUAUUAGGGAAGAACAUAUGUGUAAGUAACUGUGCACAUCUUGACGGUACCUAAUCAGAAAGCCACGGCUAACUACGUGCCAGCAGCCGCGGUAAUACGUAGGUGGCAAGCGUUAUCCGGAAUUAUUGGGCGUAAAGCGCGCGUAGGCGGUUUUUUAAGUCUGAUGUGAAAGCCCACGGCUCAACCGUGGAGGGUCAUUGGAAACUGGAAAACUUGAGUGCAGAAGAGGAAAGUGGAAUUCCAUGUGUAGCGGUGAAAUGCGCAGAGAUAUGGAGGAACACCAGUGGCGAAGGCGACUUUCUGGUCUGUAACUGACGCUGAUGUGCGAAAGCGUGGGGAUCAAACAGGAUUAGAUACCCUGGUAGUCCACGCCGUAAACGAUGAGUGCUAAGUGUUAGGGGGUUUCCGCCCCUUAGUGCUGCAGCUAACGCAUUAAGCACUCCGCCUGGGGAGUACGACCGCAAGGUUGAAACUCAAAGGAAUUGACGGGGACCCGCACAAGCGGUGGAGCAUGUGGUUUAAUUCGAAGCAACGCGAAGAACCUUACCAAAUCUUGACAUCCUUUGACAACUCUAGAGAUAGAGCCUUCCCCUUCGGGGGACAAAGUGACAGGUGGUGCAUGGUUGUCGUCAGCUCGUGUCGUGAGAUGUUGGGUUAAGUCCCGCAACGAGCGCAACCCUUAAGCUUAGUUGCCAUCAUUAAGUUGGGCACUCUAAGUUGGCUGCCGGUGACAAACCGGAGGAAGGUGGGGAUGACGUCAAAUCAUCAUGCCCCUUAUGAUUUGGGCUACACACGUGCUACAAUGGACAAUACAAAGGGCAGCGAAACCGCGAGGUCAAGCAAAUCCCAUAAAGUUGUUCUCAGUACGGAUUGUAGUCUGCAACUCGACUACAUGAAGCUGGAAUCGCUAGUAAUCGUAGAUCAGCAUGCUACGGUGAAUACGUUCCCGGGUC